GAUGAACGCUGGCGGCGUGCCUAAUACAUGCAAGUCGAGCGAACGGACGAGAAGCUUGCUUCUCUGAUGUUAGCGGCGGACGGGUGAGUAACACGUGGAUAACCUACCUAUAAGACUGGGAUAACUUCGGGAAACCGGAGCUAAUACCGGAUAAUAUUUUGAACCGCAUGGUUCAAAAGUGAAAGACGGUCUUGCUGUCACUUAUAGAUGUAUCCGCGCUGCAUUAGCUAGUUGGUAAGGUAACGGCUUACCAAGGCAACGAUGCAUAGCCGACCUGAGAGGGUGAUCGGCCACACUGGAACUGAGACACGGUCCAUACUCCUACGGGAGGCAGCAGUAGGGAAUCUUCCGCAAUGGGCGAAAGCCUGACGGAGCAACGCCGCGUGAGUGAUGAAGGUCUUCGGAUCGUAAAACUCUGUUAUUAGGGAAGAACAUAUGUGUAAGUAACUGUGCACAUCUUGACGGUACCUAAUCAGAAAGCCACGGCUAACUACGUG
Molecule: ribosomal RNA, 497 nt
Filed under: uncultured bacterium
Lineage: Bacteria
Description: partial 16S ribosomal RNA
Rfam family: Bacterial small subunit ribosomal RNA
Source: RNAcentral